Molecule: non-coding RNA, 3220 nt
Organism: Chlorocebus sabaeus (green monkey)
Lineage: Eukaryota; Metazoa; Chordata; Mammalia; Primates; Cercopithecidae
Source: RefSeq, a predicted model, not a curated record
CAAUCACUGAAGAGCUGUGAUGUUCCUAAACAGUUAAAAGUCAAGCACAGCUAUGUAACUCAUACAGUUUAUCUUUGCCAGACUAGACGAAAGAAGGAGCACUACUGCAUUCUGAUAAAACAGGUCUAUGCAGCUACCAGGAUAAUGGAAUCUAUGUUGACUUUAGCAACAGAACAACCUGUUAAGAAGAACACUCUUAAGAAAUAUAAAAUAGCUUGCAUUGUUCUUCUUGCUUUGUUGGUGAUCAUGUCACUUGGAUUAGGCCUGGGGCUUGGACUCAGGAAACCGGAAAAGCAAGGCAGCUGCAGGAAGAAGUGCUUUGAUGCAUCAUUUAGAGGACUGGAGAACUGCCGGUGUGAUGUGGCAUGUAAAGACCGAGACGAUUGCUGCUGGGAUUUUGAAGACACCUGUGUGGAAUCAACUCGAAUAUGGACGUGCAAUAAAUUUCGUUGUGGAGAGACCAGAUUAGAGGCCAGCCUUUGCUCCUGUUCAGAUGACUGUUUGCAGAGGAAAGAUUGCUGUGCUGACUAUAAGAGUGUUUGCCAAGGAGAAACCUCAUGGCUGGAAGAAAACUGUGACACAGCCCAGCGGUCUCAGUGUCCAGAAGGGUUUGACCUGCCACCUGUUAUCUUGUUUUCUAUGGAUGGAUUUAGAGCUGAAUAUUUAUACACAUGGGAUACUUUAAUGCCAAAUAUCAAUAAACUGAAAACAUGUGGAAUUCAUUCAAAAUACAUGAGAGCUAUGUAUCCUACCAAAACCUUCCCAAAUCAUUACACCAUUGUCACGGGCUUGUAUCCGGAAUCACAUGGCAUCAUUGACAAUAAUAUGUAUGAUGUAAAUCUCAACAAGAAUUUUUCACUUUCUUCAGAGGAACAAAAUAAUCCAGCCUGGUGGCAUGGGCAACCAAUGUGGCUGACAGCAAUGUAUCAAGGUUUAAAAGCCGCCACCUACUUUUGGCCUGGAUCAGAAGUGGCUAUAAAUGGCUCCUUUCCUUCCAUAUACAUGCCUUACAACCGAAGUGUCCCAUAUGAAGAGAGGAUUUCUACAUUGUUAAAAUGGCUGGACCUGCCCAAAGCUGAAAGACCCAGUUUUUAUACCAUGUAUUUUGAAGAACCUGAUUCCUCUGGACAUGCAGGUGGACCAGUCAGUGCCAGAGUAAUUAAAGCCUUACAGGUAGUAGAUCAUGCUUUUGGGAUGUUGAUGGAAGGCCUAAAGCAGCGGAAUUUGCACAACUGUGUCAAUAUCAUCCUUCUGGCUGACCAUGGAAUGGACCAGACUUAUUGUAACAAGAUGGAAUACAUGACUGAUUAUUUUCCCAGAAUAAACUUCUACAUGUACGAAGGGCCUGCGCCCCGCAUCAGAGCUCUUAAUGUACCUCAUGACUUUUUUAGUUUUAAUUCUGAAGAAAUUGUUAGAAACCUCAGUUGCCGAAAACCCGAUCAGCACUUCAAACCCUAUUUGACUCCUGAUUUGCCAAAGCGACUACACUAUGCCAAGAACGUCAGAAUCGACAAAGUUCAUCUCUUUGUGGAUCGACAAUGGCUGGCUGUUGGGAGUAAAUCAAAUACAAAUUGUGGAGGAGGCAACCAUGGUUAUAACAAUGAGUUUAGGAGCAUGGAGGCUAUCUUUCUGGCACAUGGACCCAGUUUUAAAGAGAAGACUGAAGUUGAACCAUUUGAAAAUAUUGAAGUCUAUAACCUAAUGUGUGAUCUUCUACGCAUUCAGCCAGCACCAAACAACGGAACCCGUGGUAGUUUAAACCAUCUUCUGAAGGUGCCUUUUUAUGAGCCAUCCUAUGCAGAGGAGGUGUCAAGGUUUUCUGUUUGUGGCUUUGCUAAUCCAUUGCCCACAGAUAAUCUUAGCUGUUUAUGCCCUCAUCUACAAAAUAGUAUUCAGCUGGAACAAGUGAAUCAAAUGCUAAAUCUCACCCAAGAAGAAAUAACAGCAACAGUGAAAGUAAAUUUGCCAUUUGGGAGGCCUAGGGUACUGCAGAAGAAUGCGGACCACUGUCUCCUUUACCACAGGGAAUAUGUCAGUGGAUUUGGAAAAGCUAUGAGGAUGCCCAUGUGGAGUUCAUACACAGUCCCCCAGUUGGGAGACACAUCGCCUCUUCCUCCCACUGUCCCAGACUGUCUGCGGGCUGAUGUCAGGGUUCCUCCUUCUGAGAGCCAAAAAUGUUCCUUCUAUUUAGCAGACGAGAAUAUCACCCACGGCUUCCUCUAUCCUCCUGCCAUCAAUAGAACUUCUGAUAGCCAAUAUGAUGCUUUAAUUACGAGCAAUUUUGUACCUAUGUAUGAAGAAUUCAGAAGUAUAAAUGUGGGACUACUUCCACAGUGUUCUUCUUAUAAAACACGCCACAGAAAGAAAUGGAGUAAAUGUGGUUAGUGGACCAAUAUUUGAUUAUAAUUAUGAUGGCCAUUUUGAUGCUCCAGAUGAAAUUACCAAACAUACAGCGAACACUGACAUUCCCAUCCCAACGCACUACUUUGUGGUGCUGACCAGUUGUAAAAACAAGAGCCACACACCGGAAAACUGCCCUGGGUGGCUGGACGUCCUACCCUUUGUCAUCCCUCACCGACCUACCAACGUGGAAAGCUGUCCUGAAGGUAAACCGGAAGCUCUUUGGGUUGAAGAAAGAUUUACAGCUCACAUUGCCCGGGUCCGUGAUGUAGAGCUUCUCACUGGGCUUGACUUCUAUCAGGAUAAAGCGCAGCCUGUCUCUGAAAUUUUGCAACUAAAGACAUAUUUACCAACAUUUGAAACCACUAUUUAACUUAAUAAUGUCUACUUAAUGUAUAAUUUACUGUAUAAAGUAAUUUUGGAAAAAUGUAAAUGAUUUUUUCUGGAGAAUUAUAAAAUAAAGUUUUCUAUUUUUCCUUAAGUCCCCUAAAAGCCAUAAUUUUUAUCAUUCCCUUUUCUCUUUUUCAUUUCUAUGAAUAUGUAUUAUAUUAAAGUUAUAUUUUUCACACAGAGAUGAUGCUAUCUUACACCUUCCCUUUUUUGUUGGAUUUUUAAACUCUAAUCUCAUGACAGAUUAUACCUUCCUUAUUACAUGUUUUAUCUCAGAAUCUUUGAAUAUAUUUUUCUGCCCAGAAUUAUCUAAACAAAAGGGAGAACAAAAGAAGUAUGUCUCACUUGGGAACUGAAUCAGCUCUAAAUCAGUUUUGUUGUAAAACUUUUUGUAUUUGAUUGGCAAUACUGAUUAAAAUUUAAAAUGCAC